UUAAUUUUUUUUUUUUUCAAAAUUUAAAAUCUUAUCCCCAAAACCUAACUUCUCAACUCUAAACCCUAAACCCUAAACUCUAAACCCUAAACCCUAAACCUUAAACCCUAAACUCUAAACCCUAAACCCCAAACCCUAAACUCUAAACCCUAAACCCUAAACCCUAAACCCUAAACCCUAAACUCUAAACCCUAAACUCUAAACCCUAAACUCUAAACCCUAAACCCUAAAUCCUAAACCCCACC
RNAcentral lists this long non-coding RNA (245 nucleotides) under Brassica napus (rape). Its description in RNAcentral is "long non-coding RNA (BNAP_LNC025434)". Lineage: Eukaryota; Viridiplantae; Streptophyta; Magnoliopsida; Brassicales; Brassicaceae. The record is from RNAcentral.